AUAGGAUUGGCAUCAAUAAAUCUCAAUCCAUCAUUGAUUUCAUACGCCGCCCAUAUACGUUGGGAGAAAAAUACGAUCUUGCACAAAGAAAAGAAAAAAGAAAAAAGGCAAAAUACAAUCCAAACACAUACAAUGCUCCCCGACCUUUCCGGCCGUUUCUGCUACUAGUUUUUUGGGUUCGUCUUCUCCCUGCUUGGCAAGGCUUCGUUUUUCUCUUCGAUUUCUCGCGAGGCUUUCCCUAGCGUGGGGGCUUCUUCCAAUCCUUGUUGGAUCUUCAAGUUGGAUGUCUGUUAAGCUUGAUUGCAACGGCAGGAAGCGAUUUGAUCAUCUGCUAAUGCAGCUACAUUGAUGUCUAUAUCUACUGUUGAUGAUCUAAACUAUCCAGAGAAGACGAAUACAUAUUACAUUAUGAAUGCCCCGUACAUAUUUUCAGCUACUGGAAGGUUAGCCCUUUGUCUUCUCUUUUGGAUUUGAAUCCUCAUGUUCCUCUAUGGUGUAGUUUUCUGAUUUUUUGCCUCCAAUACAAGAUUGAUGUUAUUUUUGUAAGUUCAUAAGAGAUUAAAAUAUCUGUUUAUUUUCAUGAAAUGUAUAGCCCAGCUAGCAUUCAAUUGUGUGCACUCUUCUAAACUUUUGACGGGUAGGUAAGCCUAUAUUGCAAGAGCGAAUGAGGAUGCAAAUUCAUGUGUUGCAGGGUUAUGAUAUAGAUGAGUUGCUGAAUGUAAGAACAUCUGCUGUAUUUUUUGGUGCUAAGUUGUUUAUUUUUUGAUGUGGCUAGUUUAUAUGAGGACAUCAUCUACAUUCUACUUUCUACCAUAUGGUAGGAGAUUACUCCAGGACUCAUCUACCAUAUGGUAGGUGAUUAAAUAUCUGUUUUCUUUUGGACUGGGUUGAAAAUUUAGUACUUCUUGAGCAUGUGACAGCUAUAUAUGUACUUGUAUAUCUUUGCAUCUAUCUAUUUGGAUGAAGUAAAUGAAUAGGCACUGAUGUUUUAGUUAAUUGCAACCUGAAACUUGGAAGGAAAAAGGUGUGCAACCGUACCAUAACUCUUGAAAAAACUAAGUUUUUCUAUGAGUGGAUGUUAACUUGCGCUUCCAUUUAUAUGAGUUGGAUAUCUUCAUUUCACCAGCCAUUAAAUGAGUUGUUCCAUGUGAUUUGUUGGGCAUAUUUCUAAUUAGCUGCUUUUUAAAAUGAAUGCUCAUGAAUAAUUGUCAAUUGAGAAUCUAGGGUUUCAGUUCUAACAUAUGAGACUUGUAUUGGCUUGUCUUCGUGGAGUGAGGACCAUUUUCUUCAGUUUCUAUUGAUCAUCAUAUCUUAUGGAGAGGGAUGAAGCUGACUCAAUGGCAAGCAAUCAAGACAGAGUUGACACUGAAAGAAUGGAUCAACAAGCUAGGGAAAAAAACUGAUAGUUUCACACAUGGAGUUCGUGAGCAUGUUAGAUUGGGGCCCAAGGUAUCUGUAACUGUGAAGGGGAAAUUGAGGUUGGGUGCCAGAAUUCUUCAAGAAGGUGGUGUUGAGAAGUUACUCAAGCAGAUCUUUAAAAGCUGAAGGUGAAGGUGACUAUGCUGUAUAUAAAUUGUCUGAGUACGAUUCAUUCAGUCUACAAAGAGGGGUAUACCAUUGGGUUAAAUUGACUAUGCUGAAGAUGUUGUAGAAUUUUUAAAUCAACAGCUGAACAACAAUAAAAAGGUACUUGGAGCAUAUGAUGUGAUUCUUGAAUGUGCAUAAUCCUUGGUUUUGUGAAACUUCUCUUGGGUCAUAAGUGUUUAGAAUUGGACUUGAUGGACAUAUUCCAAUUUCAUGAAACGUAUUUCACAAUUACCUUUUA
This is a long non-coding RNA of Macadamia integrifolia, 1825 nucleotides long. RefSeq lists it as uncharacterized. The transcript has 4 exons. NCBI's taxonomy places the organism in Eukaryota, Viridiplantae, Streptophyta, Magnoliopsida, Proteales, Proteaceae. The record is from RefSeq and is a predicted model, not a curated record.